AACAGAGGGUGCGAGCGUUACUCGGAAUUACUGGGCGUAAAGCGCGCGUAGGCGGCUUUGCAAGUCGGGUGUGAAAUCCCCAGGCUUAACCUGGGAACUGCAUUCGAGACUGCAUUGCUAGAGUAUGGGAGAGGGAAGUGGAAUUUCCGGUGUAGCGGUGAAAUGCGUAGAUAUCGGAAGGAACAUCAGUGGCGAAAGCGACUUCCUGGACCAAUACUGACGCUCAUGUGCGAAAGCGUGGGGAGCAAACAGG
Molecule: ribosomal RNA, 253 nt
Filed under: uncultured bacterium
Lineage: Bacteria
Description: partial 16S ribosomal RNA
Rfam family: Bacterial small subunit ribosomal RNA
Source: RNAcentral